GGACUACCCGGGUUUCUAAUCCUGUUUGCUCCCCACGCUUUCGUGCCUCAGCGUCAGUACAAGGCCAGUAAGCUGCCUUCGCUAUCGGUAUUCCUUAUGGUAUCUAAGCAUUUCACUGCUACACCAUAAAUUCUGCUUACCUCUCCUUGACUCGAGCUCUUCAGUUUCAAUGGCAGUUCUAGUGUUAAGCACUAGGCUUUCACCACUGACUUAAAGAGCCGCCUACGCACCCUUUAAACCCAGUAAAUCCGGAUAACGCUUGCACCCUCCGUAUUACCGCGGCUGCUGGCAC
Molecule: ribosomal RNA, 292 nt
Filed under: uncultured Bacteroidota bacterium
Lineage: Bacteria; Pseudomonadati; Bacteroidota
Description: uncultured Bacteroidetes bacterium partial 16S ribosomal RNA
Source: RNAcentral